UACGGGGGGUGCGAGCGUUGUCCGGAAUCACUGGGCGUAAAGGGCGCGUAGGUGGUUUGAUAAGGGUGUGGUGAAAGCCCGGGGCUCAACCCCGGGUCUGCCGUGCAGACUGUCAAACUCGAGGGCUGUAGAGGCAGACGGAAUUCCGGGUGUAGCGGUGGAAUGCGUAGAGAUCCGGAGGAAGACCGGUGGCGAAGGCGGUCUGCUGGGCAGUUUCUGACACUGAGGCGCGACAGCGUGGGGAGCAAACAGG
This 253-nucleotide ribosomal RNA is filed under the name uncultured bacterium. RNAcentral describes it as "partial 16S ribosomal RNA". It matches the Rfam family "Bacterial small subunit ribosomal RNA", at positions 524 to 776 of the family's 1533-position model. The record is from RNAcentral.